RNAcentral lists this ribosomal RNA (440 nucleotides) under uncultured bacterium. RNAcentral's name for it is "partial 16S ribosomal RNA". It matches the Rfam family "Bacterial small subunit ribosomal RNA", at positions 338 to 795 of the family's 1533-position model. The record is from RNAcentral.
CCUACGGGAGGCUGCAGUGGGGAAUAUUGCACAAUGGGGGAAACCCUGAUGCAGCAACGCCGCGUGAGUGAAGAAGUAUUUCGGUAUGUAAAGCUCUAUCAGCAGGGAAGAGAAUGACGGUACCUGACUAAGAAGCCCCGGCUAACUACGUGCCAGCAGCCGCAGUAAUACGUAGGGGGCAAGCGUUAUCCGGAUUUACUGGGUGUAAAGGGAGCGUAGACGGCUGGCCAAGUCUGAAGUGAAAGCCCGGGGCUUAACCCCCGGACUGCUCUGGAAACUGUGUAACUUGAGUGCAGGAGAGGUAAGCGGAAUUCCUAGUGUAGCGGUGAAAUGCGUAGAUAUUAGGAGGAACACCAGUGGCGAAGGCGGCUUACUGGACUGUAACUGACGUUGAGGCUCGAAAGCGUGGGGAGCAAACAGGAUUAGAUACCCGAGUAGUC